RNAcentral lists this ribosomal RNA (519 nucleotides) under uncultured eukaryote. RNAcentral describes it as "SSU rRNA". It matches the Rfam family "Eukaryotic small subunit ribosomal RNA", at positions 1161 to 1698 of the family's 1831-position model. The record is from RNAcentral.
AGGGCACCACCAGGAGUGGAGCCUGCGGCUUAAUUUGACUCAACACGGGAAAACUCACCCGGCCCGGACACUGGAAGGAUUGACAGAUUGAGAGCUCUUUCUUGAUUCAGUGGGUGGUGGUGCAUGGCCGUUCUUAGUUGGUGGAGUGAUUUGUCUGGUUAAUUCCGAUAACGAACGAGACUCUAGCCUACUAAAUAGCCUGCCUGGCUUACAAACGCCGGCAAGACUUCUUAGAGGGACAGGCGGUGAUUCAACCGCACGAAACAGAGCAAUAACAGGUCUGUGAUGCCCUUAGAUGUCCGGGGCCGCACGCGCGCUACACUGAAGUGAUCAGCGUGCCUAUUCAGCCUACUCUGUCAAGAGUGGGAAACCCAAUGAACCUUCUACGUGAUUGGGAUAGGGGAUUGUAAUUAUUCCCCUUGAACGAGGAAUUCCCAGUAAGCGCGAGUCAUAAGCUCGCGUUGAUUACGUCCCUGCCCUUUGUACACACCGCCCGUCGCUACUACCGAUUGAAUGUUU